Molecule: long non-coding RNA, 747 nt
Organism: Carassius gibelio (silver crucian carp)
Lineage: Eukaryota; Metazoa; Chordata; Actinopteri; Cypriniformes; Cyprinidae
Exons: 4
Source: RefSeq, a predicted model, not a curated record
GUGAGAGGCAGCAGUGCGCUAAUGUGCAACAGGAACAAAACAAAAGAAGAAGAAAUAAGGACGGUGAGCAUGCGCAGCAAGCAAAGUUUUGAAGCUGCAUCGAAUUUGCUGAAACUAAGAAGUAGAAAGACUGUUUACAUUUCACCUCUGGACAAAGAAUGAUUGAUUACUUCUACACAAUAAUAAUAAGGAAAAAAGCUUGUGUCAGCUGUCUUCUCUGAGCAGCGGUCUUGUGAUCACCAGCCUCAGUAUAAUAAAGAUUUGACAGAACUACACACCCAUCUGAUGCCUACCUGUUUUAAUUCAUGAUCCCCCCGGAUACUUCUACAACUAACCCACCUUGGUGUCUGAUGCUGAUGCAGUCUGGGCACUAGUAUCUGUUGGCUUGCUGACUAUCACUGACGAUGAAGUACUUCUCCAAAUCUUGACCCAGUGUCUUCUGCCAUCAUUGUUCAGGGUAGUACUGCAAAGAAUAGUCUCCAGGGUUUGCCUCCAACAUUUGCUUCCCGACCACCAUGUGCUACGUUUGCAUCACUGCUACAUGUGGGUUACCCUGAUACUGUGAAGAGCACCUACAAUAUGAUGCUUGACUUGGGACAGAAAAAAAAACAUUGGCAACUUGUGUGGCCAACUCAUUGCCGUAUUUAAAAUCAUUGUACCGCUACCUCCAUUGUUUAACAUAACUAAAAGCAGAUUGUUUUUGCUUUGUUUCAAAAAUUUUGUAAUACGAGUUAAAAAGUAUAUCAU